UUAAAGUGGAGGCAGAGAAUCCGGAUGAGCCUGACCACCCGACCACGAUGCAAAACGAUGCCGAGUUGGUGGUUGCUGCAGUUCCUGCUGUUCAGGUGAGCUUCGAGGAGCUCAACUUGUAGACCUGAGUCACAAAAGUCAGACAGAGAAGGAAGCCGUGUUACAGCGCUUGCGCCAGGAAGGGGUUCGGCGGUUUGCCAACUUCACGUGCUACUAGGGGUUUCC
This is a long non-coding RNA of Thrips palmi, 225 nucleotides long. RefSeq lists it as uncharacterized. Lineage: Eukaryota; Metazoa; Arthropoda; Insecta; Thysanoptera; Thripidae. The transcript is spliced from 3 exons. The record is from RefSeq and is a predicted model, not a curated record.